Molecule: transfer RNA, 73 nt
Filed under: Ovis aries (sheep)
Lineage: Eukaryota; Metazoa; Chordata; Mammalia; Artiodactyla; Bovidae
Rfam family: tRNA
About the family: Transfer RNA (tRNA) molecules are approximately 80 nucleotides in length. Their secondary structure includes four short double-helical elements and three loops (D, anti-codon, and T loops).
Source: Rfam by way of RNAcentral
UCCCAGGUGGCUCAGAUGGUAAAAGUGUCUGCCAGCAAUGCAGGAGACCCGGGUUCGAUUCCUGGGUUGGUAA